Corticium candelabrum is the source of this 582-nucleotide long non-coding RNA. RefSeq lists it as uncharacterized. The record is from RefSeq and is a predicted model, not a curated record. The transcript is spliced from 3 exons. NCBI's taxonomy places the organism in Eukaryota, Metazoa, Porifera, Homoscleromorpha, Homosclerophorida, Plakinidae.
UGCUUUGACUGCGAUAGCAAACAUUGAAAUUACAGUAACCCAUGGAUCAUAUUGAUAAGGCUCAUUAAGAGCAAGUGGGUGACCCAACUGACUGAUUUGUAAUAUGUUGUUUGGGUAGGCUCAAUGACGUCUGAGGCAGAUUAUGUACGCUGACAGUAUCCAGUACUCUGGUUUCCUCACAUUGCUUCGCAUAAAGUGAAGUAUCGGUGUUGCUUUCAAUAAGCUUCAGCACCAGAGAACAGCCCUAUUUAUAGCCAUAAGUGGACACCCAACAAGAGACGUACACCUGAGCAGAGGCAUGGUGAUACAGUACACAUAUUUGUGUUUGGUUUCUACACACUCUCUGGUAUCUGGGAAAAGGAUACAAAAAAAUGUCGAUCAACUGACUGUGAAAAUUUUACGUAUGUUAGGCCGGGCAAACUGAUUCACAGUUUAACGUUCCCAUCCACUUCAUAUUCUGGGAAAGCAAAAUAAGUUUCAGUAUUCAUUAUAUAAAACACAUGACACCUCGCACGUGCAUGUCUCGUGUUGCACACGUUAGUUUUCACAAUAUGGCUUCCUUCGUAAGCGUGCAUGUGUACA